AGCAGGCGCGCAAAUUACCCAAUCCCGACACGGGGAGGUAGUGACAAUAAAUAACAAUACGGGGUUCUUUNGGAUCUCGUAAUUGGAAUGAGUACAAUUUAAAUCUCUUAACGAGGAACAAUUGGAGGGCAAGUCUGGUGCCAGCAGCCGCGGUAAUUCCAGCUCCAAUAGCGUAUAUUAAAGUUGUUGCAGUUAAAAAGCUCGUAGUUGAAUUUCGGGGUUAGUAGGUUGGUCAUGCCUCUGGUAUGUACUGGUCUCACUGAUUCCUCCUUCCUGAUGAACCGUAAUGCCAUUAAUUUGGUGUUGCGGGGAAUUUGGACUGUUACUUUGAAAAAAUUAGAGUGUUUAAAGCAAGCUAACGCUUGAAUACAUUAGCAUGGAAUAAUGAAAUAGGACGUUCGAUCCUAUUUUGUUGGUUUCUAGGAUUGACGUAAUGAUUAAUAGGGAUAGUUGGGGGCAUUAGUAUUCAAUUGUCAGAGGUGAAAUUCUUGGAUUUAUUGAAGACUAACUACUGCGAAAGCAUUUGCCAAGGAUGUUUUCAUUAAUCAAGAACGAAAGUUAGGGGAUCGAAGACGAUCAGAUACCGUCGUAGUCUUAACCAUAAACUAUGCCGACUAGGGAUCGGAUGAUGUUAAUUUUUUAAUGACUCAUUCGGCGCCUUACGGGAAACCAAAGUGUUUGGGUUC
This 686-nucleotide ribosomal RNA is filed under the name uncultured Glomeromycotina. RNAcentral's name for it is "SSU rRNA". It matches the Rfam family "Eukaryotic small subunit ribosomal RNA", at positions 427 to 1114 of the family's 1831-position model. The record is from RNAcentral. Lineage: Eukaryota; Fungi; Glomeromycota.